This 497-nucleotide ribosomal RNA is filed under the name uncultured bacterium. RNAcentral's name for it is "partial 16S ribosomal RNA". It matches the Rfam family "Bacterial small subunit ribosomal RNA", at positions 28 to 507 of the family's 1533-position model. The record is from RNAcentral.
GACGAACGCUGGCGGCGUGCCUAAUACAUGCAAGUUGAGCGAUGAAGAUUGGUGCUUGCACCAAUUUGAAGAGCAGCGAACGGGUGAGUAACGCGUGGGGAAUCUGCCUUUGAGCGGGGGACAACAUUUGGAAACGAAUGCUAAUACCGCAUAACAACUUUAAACAUAAGUUUUAAGUUUGAAAGAUGCAAUUGCAUCACUCAAAGAUGAUCCCGCGUUGUAUUAGCUAGCUGGUGAGGUAAAGGCUCACCAAGGCGAUGAUACAUAGCCGACCUGAGAGGGUGAUCAGCCACAUUGGGACUGAGACACGGCCCAAACUCCUACGGGAGGCAGCAGUAGGGAAUCUUCGGCAAUGGACGAAAGUCUGGCCGAGCAACGCCGCGUGAGUGAAGAAGGUUUUCGGAUCGUAAAACUCUGUUGGUAGAGAAGAACGUUGGUUAGAGUGGAAAGCUCAUCAAGUGACGGUAACUACCCAGAAAGGGACGGCUAACUACGUG